GCUGGGCAUGGUGGUGCAUGCCUGUAAUCCCAGCUACGUGGGAGACUGAGACAGGAGAAUCUCUUGAACCCAGGCAGUGGAGGUUACAGUGAGCUGAGAUCAUGCCACUGCCCUCCAGCCUGGGUGACAAAGUGAGACUCUGUCUCAA
Unclassified non-coding RNA from Callithrix jacchus (white-tufted-ear marmoset), 148 nucleotides. It matches the Rfam family "Metazoan signal recognition particle RNA". Rfam says of the family: The signal recognition particle (SRP) is a universally conserved ribonucleoprotein. It is involved in the co-translational targeting of proteins to membranes. The record is from Ensembl. NCBI's taxonomy places the organism in Eukaryota, Metazoa, Chordata, Mammalia, Primates, Cebidae.